This 778-nucleotide ribosomal RNA is filed under the name uncultured bacterium. RNAcentral describes it as "bacterial SSU rRNA". It matches the Rfam family "Bacterial small subunit ribosomal RNA", at positions 8 to 796 of the family's 1533-position model. The record is from RNAcentral.
AGAGUUUGAUCCUGGCUCAGGAUGAACGCUAGCGGCAGGCCUAAUACAUGCAAGUCGAACGGUCUCGCAAGAGAUAGUGGCGCACGGGUGCGUAACGCGUAUGCAACCUACCUAUCAGUGGGGAAUAGCCCGGGGAAACCCGGAUUAAUACCGCAUAAGAACAAAGAGUGGCAUCACUUUUUGCUGAAACAUUUAUGGCUGACAGAUGGGCAUGCGUAAGAUUAGCUAGUUGGUAGUGUAAGGGACUACCAAGGCAAUGAUCUUUAGGGGUUCUGAGAGGAAGAUCCCCCACACUGGUACUGAGAUACGGACCAGACUCCUACGGGAGGCAGCAGUAGGGAAUAUUGGGCAAUGCCCGCAAGGGUGACCCAGCCAUGCCGCGUGCAGGAAGAAGGCCUUCUGGGUUGUAAACUGCUUUUGGAAGGGAACAAAAUGGUCGUGCGCGACAACUUGAGUGUACCUUCAGAAUAAGCACCGGCUAACUCCGUGCCAGCAGCCGCGGUAAUACGGAGGGUGCAAGCGUUGUCCGGAUUUAUUGGGUUUAAAGGGUGCGUAGGCGGCCGCUUAAGUCAGGGGUGAAAGACUGCAGCUCAACUGUAGCAGUGCCUUUGAUACUGAGUGGCUUGAGUACAGAUGAGGCCGGCGGAAUGGGUGGUGUAGCGGUGAAAUGCAUAGAUACCAUCCAGAACACCGAUUGCGAAGGCAGCCGGCUAAACUGUAACUGACGCUGAGGCACGAAAGCGUGGGGAUCGAACAGGAUUAGAUACCCUAGUAGUCC